GGCCCGCCUGGUGACGGAAUACCAGGUUGAAGGACGUAGGUAUAGGGACGGUAGUCAAGUACGCCGACCCUGCUGAACUCCGAUAGUACCCCAAGCCCCCGGGCGAGGGGAUAGCGGCCCUAACCAUGCUCCCAAGAAAACCCGCUAAGCGUUCAAGGUUACGCUACCCGUACCGCAAUCCGACACAGGUAGUCGAGGAGAGAAUCCUAAGGUGCUCGAGUGAAUCACGGCCAAGGAACUCGGCAAAAUGGCCCUGUAACUUCGGGAGAAGGGGCGCUUCCUCCAAGCAAUUGGAGAAGCCGCAGUGAAAAGGCCCAGGCGACUGUUUAACAAAAACACAUGGCUUUGCAAAAUCGAAAGAUGAAGUAUAAGGCCUGACACCUGCCCGGUGCCGGAAGGUUAAGAGGGGAGCUUAGUCGCAAGGCGAAGGCUUGAAUCGA
Molecule: ribosomal RNA, 440 nt
Filed under: Anophryoides haemophila
Lineage: Eukaryota; Ciliophora; Oligohymenophorea; Philasterida; Glauconematidae
Description: partial Bacterial large subunit ribosomal RNA
Rfam family: Bacterial large subunit ribosomal RNA
Source: RNAcentral